CCUACGGGCGGCAGCAGUGGGGGAUAUUGCACAAUGGGGGAAACCCUGAUGCAGCAACGCCGCGUGAGUGAAGAAGGUCUUCGGAUUGUAAAGCUCUGUUCUUGGUGAAGAUAAUGACGGUAGCCAAGGAGAAAAAGCAUCGGCUAACUCCGUGCCAGCAGCCGCGGUAAUACGGAGGAUGCGAGCGUUACUCGGAAUCACUGGGCGUAAAGAGCGCGUAGGCGGGAUAGCAAGUCAGAUGUGAAAUCCUAUGGCUUAACCAUAGAACUGCAUUUGAAACUGUUAUUCUAGAGUAUGGGAGAGGUAGGUGGAAUUCUUGGUGUAGGGGUAAAAUCCGUAGAGAUCAAGAGGAAUACUCAUUGCGAAGGCGACCUGCUAGAACAUAACUGACGCUGAUGCGCGAAAGCGUGGGGAGCAAACAGGAUUAGAUACCCCGGUAGUC
RNAcentral lists this ribosomal RNA (442 nucleotides) under uncultured bacterium. RNAcentral describes it as "partial 16S ribosomal RNA". It matches the Rfam family "Bacterial small subunit ribosomal RNA", at positions 338 to 795 of the family's 1533-position model. The record is from RNAcentral.